GCGCAAGGCUGGACGACGAGGAGCCAUCAUCUUUUGUGGCUGUCGCGCCGAGGAAAGUUAGGUCGCCAUAGCAGCCUUGAAAUGAGUUACGCGCUCACGGAUGGAUAGGGCCGGGGGCGGGGGAGUGACGAGGGGGACCGGAAAACAUUAAGUGUCCUCGGGUACUUGCGGGAGAUGCUUUCCUGGCUUUUGCACACGGAGGGCGAGGCAAAGUUUGGAGGCAGAUGACGCGCCGGGCGCUCCCCUCCUUCCGCGGCUCGCCCAGCCCCCGGGUAACCGGGCGGAGACUGCGCACGUCCGCGUGUGGGGCGGGGGAGGUGGCAGAAGCGGAGGAAAGAGGACGGAGGGGACGAGCUCCGGGAGGAAAAUGAGGCUGUGGCGUGUGGGAGCCCGGAGCGCAAAAUAGGCUGAUCUUUUCAUUCAGGAGGCGUCUCCGUGGAGACUGAGGAGGUGCUAGGAGUCCCCUGGGGUGCUGUCAGCGCCGCUUGCUGAGUUUCUGCGGAAGAGUGAAAUACGAGGGAGCUAGUGAGCGAAGAGGAGUGGAGAAAUUGCCAGCAGCCACACUGCCGUGGUCCCACAAGGCACAAACCCCACCCCCUUCUGUGCCGAUCCCACAAGGCUACAGGCUCAGCACGCCCCUUCUCCAUCACAGCCAAGAUUCCAGAAUGACCACUGGUAUGCUGCAGCCUCAUGUGGAGAUGCUGCGACACCUCUGGGAUUCCCAAAGAAAAGGACAGGAAGGUGUGCAGUACUAAAGUCCCACCCUGACCUCACUCUGAAUAUUCACUCGGGCCACUGGCCCU
RNAcentral lists this long non-coding RNA (803 nucleotides) under Oryctolagus cuniculus (rabbit). RNAcentral's name for it is "lncRNA (ENSOCUG00000037497.1)". Lineage: Eukaryota; Metazoa; Chordata; Mammalia; Lagomorpha; Leporidae. The record is from RNAcentral.